GAUGAACGCUGGCGGCGUGCCUAAUACAUGCAAGUCGAGCGAACAGACGAGGAGCUUGCUCCUCUGACGUUAGCGGCGGACGGGUGAGCAACACGUGGAUAACCUACCUAUAAGACUGGGAUAACUUCGGGAAACCGGAGCUAAUACCGGAUAAUAUAUUGAACCGCAUGGUUCAAUAGUGAAAGACGGUUUUGCUGUCACUUAUAGAUGGAUCCGCGCCGCAUUAGCUAGUUGGUAAGGUAACGGCUUACCAAGGCAACGAUGCGUAGCCGACCUGAGAGGGUGAUCGGCCACACUGGAACUGAGACACGGUCCAGACUCCUACGGGAGGCAGCAGUAGGGAAUCUUCCGCAAUGGGCGAAAGCCUGACGGAGCAACGCCGCGUGAGUGAUGAAGGUCUUCGGAUCGUAAAACUCUGUUAUUAGGGAAGAACAAAUGUGUAAGUAACUAUGCACGUCUUGACGGUACCUAAUCAGAAAGCCACGGCUAACUACGUGC
Molecule: ribosomal RNA, 498 nt
Filed under: uncultured bacterium
Lineage: Bacteria
Description: partial 16S ribosomal RNA
Rfam family: Bacterial small subunit ribosomal RNA
Source: RNAcentral